Molecule: ribosomal RNA, 492 nt
Filed under: uncultured bacterium
Lineage: Bacteria
Description: partial 16S ribosomal RNA
Rfam family: Bacterial small subunit ribosomal RNA
Source: RNAcentral
AGUGAACGCUGGCGGUAGGCCUAACACAUGCAAGUCGAACGGCAGCACAGUAAGAGCUUGCUCUUACGGGUGGCGGGUGGCGGACGGGUGAGGAAUACAUCGGAAUCUACUUUUUCGUGGGGGAUAACGUAGGGAAACUUACGCUAAUACCGCAUACGACCUACGGGUGAAAGCAGGGGAUCUUCGGACCUUGCGCGAUAGAAUGAGCCGAUGUCGGAUUAGCUAGUUGGCGGGGUAAAGGCCCACCAAGGCGACGAUCCGUAGCUGGUCUGAGAGGAUGAUCAGCCACACUGGAACUGAGACACGGCCCAGACUCCUACGGGAGGCAGCAGUGGGGAAUAUUGGACAAUGGGCGCAAGCCUGAUCCAGCCAUACCGCGUGGGUGAAGAAGGCCUUCGGGUUGUAAAGCCCUUUUGUUGGGAAAGAAAAGCAGCAGGUUAAUACCCCGCUGUUCUGACGGUACCCAAAGAAUAAGCACCGGCUAACUUCGUG